Molecule: ribosomal RNA, 324 nt
Filed under: uncultured eukaryote
Lineage: Eukaryota
Description: partial 18S ribosomal RNA
Rfam family: Eukaryotic small subunit ribosomal RNA
Source: RNAcentral
CCCUUAGAUGUCCUGGGCCGCACGCGCGCUACACUGAUGCAUUCAACGAGUUCACCUUGGCCGAGAGGCCUGGGCAAUCUUUUGAACGUGCAUCGUGAUAGGGAUAGAUUAUUGUAAUUUUUAAUCUUGAACGAGGAAUUCCUAGUAAACGCAGAUCAUCAAUCUGCAUUGAUUACGUCCCUGCCCUUUGUACACACCGCCCGUCGCACCUACCGAUUGAAUGGUCCGGUGAAGCCCCGGGAUUGUGAUGAGUUCCCUUCAUUGGGAGUUUGUCGCGAGAACUUGUCUAAACCUUAUCAUUUAGAGGAAGGUGAAGUCGUANCA